GAAGAGAAGGAACAGAAGAAAGG
This 23-nucleotide non-coding RNA is filed under the name Cricetulus griseus (Chinese hamster). Lineage: Eukaryota; Metazoa; Chordata; Mammalia; Rodentia; Cricetidae. The record is from RNAcentral.